GGUGGCUCAGUGGUGGAGUGCUUGCCUUGCAUGCAUGAAGGCCUGGGUUCGAUUCCUCAGCACCA
This 65-nucleotide transfer RNA is filed under the name Dipodomys ordii (Ord's kangaroo rat). It matches the Rfam family "tRNA". From Rfam's summary of the family: Transfer RNA (tRNA) molecules are approximately 80 nucleotides in length. Their secondary structure includes four short double-helical elements and three loops (D, anti-codon, and T loops). The record is from Rfam by way of RNAcentral. Lineage: Eukaryota; Metazoa; Chordata; Mammalia; Rodentia; Heteromyidae.